Molecule: non-coding RNA, 83 nt
Organism: Trametes cinnabarina
Lineage: Eukaryota; Fungi; Basidiomycota; Agaricomycetes; Polyporales; Polyporaceae
Source: Rfam
GGCCCAAUGGUCUAGUAGUAUGAUUCGCGCUUCGGGCUUUCCCAAGUUGUGCGAGGUCCCGGGUUCAAUUCCCGGUUGGGCCC